AAUUCCGUCCAAGGCUAAAUACG
This 23-nucleotide small nuclear RNA is filed under the name Arabidopsis thaliana (thale cress). Its description in RNAcentral is "snRNA_08799". Lineage: Eukaryota; Viridiplantae; Streptophyta; Magnoliopsida; Brassicales; Brassicaceae. The record is from RNAcentral.